CUCCAAGGCUAAAUACUCCUGACUGACCGAUAGUGAACCAGUACCGUGAGGGAAAGGCGAAAAGAACCCCGGCGAGGGGAGUGAAAAAGAACCUGAAACCGUGUACGUACAAGCAGUGGGAGCACCUUCGGGUGUGACUGCGUACCUUUUGUAUAAUGGGUCAGCGACUUAUAUUCUGUAGCAAGGUUAACCGUAUAGGGGAGCCGCAGGGAAACCGAGUCUUAACUGGGCGUUAAGUUGCAGGGUAUAGACCCGAAACCCGGUGAUCUAGCCAUGGGCAGGUUGAAGGUUGGGUAACACUAACUGGAGGACCGAACCGACUAAUGUUGAAAAAUUAGCGGAUGACUUGUGGCUGGGGGUGAAAGGCCAAUCAAACCGGGAGAUAGCUGGUUCUCCCCGAAAGCUAUUUAGGUAGCGCCUCGUGAACUCAUCUUCGGGGGUAGAGCACUGUUUCGGCUAGGGG
This 463-nucleotide ribosomal RNA is filed under the name Pseudomonas aeruginosa. RNAcentral describes it as "partial 23S ribosomal RNA". It matches the Rfam family "Bacterial large subunit ribosomal RNA", at positions 458 to 925 of the family's 2925-position model. Lineage: Bacteria; Pseudomonadati; Pseudomonadota; Gammaproteobacteria; Pseudomonadales; Pseudomonadaceae. The record is from RNAcentral.